UACGGCGGGGGCUAGCGUUGUUCGGAAUUACUGGGCGUAAAGCGCACGUAGGCGGCUAUUCAAGUCAGAGGUGAAAGCCCGGGGCUCAACCCCGGAACUGCCUUUGAAACUAGAUAGCUAGAAUCACGGAGAGGUAAGUGGAAUUCCGAGUGUAGAGGUGAAAUUCGGAGAGAUGCGGAAGAACACCAGUGGCGAAGGCGGCUUACUGGACGUGAAUUGACGCUGAGGUGCGAAAGCGUGGGGAGCAAACAGG
This 253-nucleotide ribosomal RNA is filed under the name uncultured bacterium. RNAcentral's name for it is "partial 16S ribosomal RNA". It matches the Rfam family "Bacterial small subunit ribosomal RNA", at positions 524 to 776 of the family's 1533-position model. The record is from RNAcentral.